AAGAAAGAUGUCUCUAAGAGAAGGCUAUCAGCUCUCAUUCUAGAAGCAUGAGGUCACGGGACCCAGAGACUGUUCGAGAUGCUCAGCAACAAAGUGAACAGGAUUCAUAGUGCAUCUAUUUAUGCAGCUAACAUGGUUACAAGUCUCAUGGCCUCAGCAAAGUUAACCACAGCCUUCAUUCUUGCUUUCUACUUCUGCCCUUCUGAUCUCUCAAAGGGUUGUUUGACUCUGAGAGCUGCCAGUUUAGCAGCCACAAAGACACACAGCAAUUCUUGUGGGAUCUAGCACACCAACACUUUCUGUCUGGGAAGCCCACAAUGAUAAAAGAAGAAGAAAAACCAAGUCCGGGGUCUGUCUUGGAAA
This is a long non-coding RNA of Mesocricetus auratus (golden hamster), 363 nucleotides long. RefSeq lists it as uncharacterized. The transcript has 3 exons. The record is from RefSeq and is a predicted model, not a curated record. Lineage: Eukaryota; Metazoa; Chordata; Mammalia; Rodentia; Cricetidae.